AUCCGAUCCAUAUCUGAUCCGAUCUGUUUAUGAUUCAAUGCGAUCCGAUUGCCAUCUCUACGCGCAUCGACCAUGGUGAUUGAUUCCCGCACAGCAUUGAAAUAAAUUUUUUUUGCAUAUCACGCCCAACUCCACGCCUGAACCAAUCAACCGCGCGCAUAAAAACUACACCACCCGUGGUGCACAAAGAAUACCUCGCCGGUUCAAUUUAAAAUUGGAUAUUUUUGGUGCCCA
This 234-nucleotide long non-coding RNA is filed under the name Elaeis guineensis (African oil palm). Its description in RNAcentral is "long non-coding RNA (EGUI_LNC006310)". The record is from RNAcentral. Lineage: Eukaryota; Viridiplantae; Streptophyta; Magnoliopsida; Arecales; Arecaceae.